GAGCUCAGCGGCCCGCAGCGGAGACCGGGCCGGGACCGGGACCAGGACCGGGACCUGCCCACCGUGUUCAUCCCGGCCGCAGCAGCCGCCAGGGGACGUGCUGCUUCUCCGGCCUUCGAGGCAGCCACCGCGGGCAAGGCUUGGCGGUGGGGCCAGGCCUGAGCACAGCAGCCGGGGAGAGAAGCGGCUGUGUGGUAUCUGAAUGAAUUUUGGCGGACACCUCCUGCCCGCCGAGCGUAAAACACCCCGAAAGAAUAACAGGAGUUAGAAAUUUUCUGAGCAGCUAAGAGUUCCCCAUAACAGAUUCUGCAAGCAGGCAGGCAGCUGCAUAGCCCACAGAACCAGGCAGCUGGGACCAACCCAACCCAGCCCAGCCCCGCUGAGCUGGCAAGACCUGGAAAUCCUUGGACUGUCAAAACCAGAAUAUGCAGUAAAGACGGAGUGUCAGUAAGCCAGGCCAGGUCAAGGUCCAUCAAGACAGCCAAGAGUUUUCCAGUGCUCUUUUCAGAGUAUGGUCUCCUGGAACACCUGGGAAGAUACAGCCCUGAUGGUGAUUGCUUCACACAGCACAACAAAAGUCUAAGGAUUGUCCCCUGUCAUUGUUGGGGUUUCUAGGAUGAGCAUCCUGUGGAGAGUCCUGGGGAAGCUGGAACACACUUAGGAGUCGUGGCAGAGCAGAAUGGGCAGGAAUUUGUAAAGGAGACCAGGGCAGUCAUUAUGCAAAUGGAUACAGCAGAGAGGAAUGAUUUGCCCAGAGGCAGCGAGCUGCCUGAUGGCAGUGUCAUGUGGUGUUGAAAGGAUUUAUGGGUUUAUAUGUAAGUAAAACUGUCCUUAGAGGACAGCCCACACUGAGAUUCUCUCUGUAGUGAAACCCCAAAUUUCAUCCUUCUAAUAAUCACAGUUAAGUUCCUCAGUAAUUUGUCUGAGUGUUACUGUU
Calypte anna (Anna's hummingbird) is the source of this 937-nucleotide long non-coding RNA. RefSeq lists it as uncharacterized. Lineage: Eukaryota; Metazoa; Chordata; Aves; Apodiformes; Trochilidae. The transcript is spliced from 3 exons. The record is from RefSeq and is a predicted model, not a curated record.